AUGUUGAUUGUACCGAACGAAGGAUUUGCCUUAUCACGAAAGCCACAUUCGUUUCGUCUGAGGAAGUCACACGUCAUGUUCCCUAUAAAUAAGGAGAUUCAUUCUUUUUUUCAGAAAUCCCCUCUUCUUCCUCCUCAAGCCCCUAUCACAAGACCAAGCGGAUCUCAUCCUGCAGAAGACUCAGAGCGGAUCUAUCUAAUGGCAUGGCUGGCUGCCAGAUGUGAUCUAUUCUCGUGUCACAUCGCUUUCUUUCUUCUCCCUCCAUUUUCUUCACUACUACCGCUUCUACACAUAAAUCAAAGAAGCAUUGUGGAAUAG
This 318-nucleotide ribosomal RNA is filed under the name Triticum aestivum (bread wheat). Its description in RNAcentral is "partial small subunit ribosomal RNA". The record is from RNAcentral. Lineage: Eukaryota; Viridiplantae; Streptophyta; Magnoliopsida; Poales; Poaceae.